AUGAAAUUAAACUCUAAGGAUUCAAACGGGGACUUAGUGAAAAGUAACGGCCAUGUCCGAUUUGACUAGUUACGCGAAAAGACAUCACAUGCCCAUACUACGCAACUACGCAGAAAACGAGAGGACACCUAAAGCCCAUUGGGCCAUGCGAAAAGAUAUCACUUGCAGAUACGCCGGCCGGUAUGGUAAUGAGGACUAACUAAAGCCCAUUCUGACGUACGAAACGACUCGCAUGCAGGUAGGCCAUAAUUUGAGGUGUACUCUCUCUUGGAAGUAUCAGAAGGGCCACUCUUGUCUGUGUCCCAGUCCCAGGUGUCUUCUUCUACCUCGUGCUCGUCGUCCCCAUGCACCCCGAUCCAUUAUUAAUCUGGGUCCGAAGUGCAGCCAAGGAUAGGCACAUGGGUCCGCCAUUCGGCGCUGUCGCCGCAUGCAUGCGCACCGGCCACCGUCACCGCCGCUGAUGGUCGAACAACAUAAAACAGAGGUCGAGGUGGAGGGCGGGCGCGCAUCAUUUGUUUCGUCGUGCCGCACACGCACGAGAGCACGAGCAGGAGCAUAUCUGCAUAUGGCACCGCCCGGCCGGACUGCUGCUGCUGGUGCCGGCGAGGACGUGGUGGUUUGGGUCUCGUACGUGGUCGUGCGCUGGCCGGUGGCCGCCGCGCCAGACGACGACGCCGGCGGAAUCACGGACUCACAGGACCCGGACUGGACAUGCAUCGAUCGAUCGAUCGAGGUACAGGUACACAUGGAAC
Molecule: unclassified non-coding RNA, 752 nt
Filed under: Zea mays
Lineage: Eukaryota; Viridiplantae; Streptophyta; Magnoliopsida; Poales; Poaceae
Description: misc RNA Zm00001eb106000
Source: RNAcentral